AAAAACAGUGAAGUGCUUCAUACAAUUGUAUUUUUUGUUCUUAAGGAGAAAAAAAUGUUUUCCCAGUUCAUGAGCAUUUUAGGCAAUUCAAUUAAACAUUCAUGUUAUGACAUUAUAGACUGAAAGUGUGUGAAUAAUUCAUCCAGGUUAAAGUCCAUGUAUCUAGUGCUAGAUGUUUCAGUCCAUAAUGAAUGAAAUUUACACAAAAUUUAACAUCAACUGCAAAAUAAUUUAAAAGGGAUGUAGAUGUUAUGACAGUUAGGUAGCUUCCCUUCAAAUAGCCUUAAGUGCAUUAUGAUUGAAAUUGGAAGGUAUGAUCAAGAGAAUGGUUUGUUUAAUCAUGUUAUGUAUGUCCUCUUUUCCUAGAAUGCCCCUCAGGCAGUCUUCAGUCUUUCAUUCCAAAGAAAUAUGGUGGGGUACACACACAAAUCUCACUUAGCACAUGUAACCCAUAAUUUCCACACUCUACAUUCGACUUCAUCUCUUUACUUAAACCUCACAGGCAAACAUCCACUGUAGUGUUAAUGUUCUCAAUUUGAUGUGUGAUAGAAUGCAGAUGGAAAAGUGGUGGCGGUGUAGCUUUUUGCAGCACACCAGAGCUCCACACAAAUUAUUCUACACAUUAAAUUAUUUCAUCUAUUUUGUAUUAUUAUAAAUAGUUCAUGUUUCUUGUUAUUAUUACUGCUGUUCCAGCCACAUUUUCCCUUUUCGCUAACUACAGCUAUAAUGGCUCCCGGGCCUCAGGACGCCAAGUUGAGCAUGACGGGGGGAAGGAAUUAGCGCCCCACAAUACCUCGGACGUGCUUCCCACUAAGCCUGGAGUACCAGAAUAACCUCUUUCAGCUUCCCAAAAUGCUCAUGGUUUGGUAUAUGGAC
This is a long non-coding RNA of Cyprinus carpio (common carp), 876 nucleotides long. RefSeq lists it as uncharacterized. The transcript has 2 exons. NCBI's taxonomy places the organism in Eukaryota, Metazoa, Chordata, Actinopteri, Cypriniformes, Cyprinidae. The record is from RefSeq and is a predicted model, not a curated record.